RNAcentral lists this small RNA (644 nucleotides) under Pan troglodytes (chimpanzee). Its description in RNAcentral is "processed transcript". Lineage: Eukaryota; Metazoa; Chordata; Mammalia; Primates; Hominidae. The record is from RNAcentral.
GUGGCCGCGGUAGGCUGCCAGCCAGGCUGGGAAAGCGGUGGUAGCUGGUUGGGUUGCUGGGGCUCGGUUGUUGUAGUCGCGAUGUUCUUCUCGGAGGCCAGAGCCAGGUCGCGGACGUGGGAAGCCAGUCCCUCGGAACACAGGAAGUGGGUGGAAGUAUUUAAAGCAUGUGAUGAAGAUCACAAAGGAUAUCUCAGCAGAGAGGACUUUAAAACUGCUGUUGUAAUGCUGUUUGGGUACAAGCCCUCCAAGAUAGAAGUGGAUUCUGUGAUGUCUUCAAUAAAUCCAAAUACUUCUGGUAUAUUACUUGAGGGGUUUUUAAAUAUUGUCAGGAAAAAGAAGGAAGCUCAACGAUAUCGGAAUGAAGUAAGACACAUCUUCACAGCCUUUGACACCUACUAUCGUGGAUUUUUAACUUUGGAAGAUUUCAAAAAAGCAUUUAGGCAGGUGGCUCCCAAAUUACCGGAAAGGACUGUUCUUGAGGUAUUCAGAAACCUGGAAGUCAUCCCAAGUUCCUUUCUUUUUCUUACCCUCCACAUCCAAGCUGUCAACAAAUCUUGACUCUGACCACCUCUCAGCACCUCCACUGUGUCACCCAGUGCAAACCUCCACCACCAUCUCAGCCUCUUACCCAGCUCCAGGAU